Molecule: ribosomal RNA, 425 nt
Filed under: uncultured bacterium
Lineage: Bacteria
Description: partial 16S ribosomal RNA
Rfam family: Bacterial small subunit ribosomal RNA
Source: RNAcentral
GUGGGGAAUAUUGCACAAUGGGGGAAACCCUGAUGCAGCGACGCCGCGUGGAGGAAGAAGGUCUUCGGAUUGUAAACUCCUGUUGUUGAGGAAGAUAAUGACGGUACUCAACAAGGAAGUGACGGCUAACUACGUGCCAGCAGCCGCGGUAAAACGUAGGUAACAAGCGUUGUCCGGAAUUACUGGGUGUAAAGGGAGCGCAGGCGGGAGAACAAGUUGGAAGUGAAAUCCAUGGGCUCAACCCAUGAACUGCUUUCAAAACUGUUUUUCUUGAGUAGUGCAGAAGUAGGCGGAAUUCCCGGUGUAGCGGUGGAAUGCGUAGAUAUCGGGAGGAACACCAGUGGCGAAGGCGGCCUACUGGGCACCAACUGACGCUGAGGCUCGAAAGUGUGGGUAGCAAACAGGAUUAGAAACCCUGGUAGUCC